GUGAGGUCACUGCACAGGACCCAAGCAGAGCAGAACUGACUGUGCCCUGGGGUGCAAGGGGUCCAGCCCAGGCUGGAGACACGGCGCUCCGAGGAGCACGGUGCCGAGACACCAUUCCGAGUGCAGGAGCAGUGCACGUGAGAAUGGCUUCCUGCAGGAACACAUGAAAAGUUACCUAAAGAUACCCUGAUGACUUACUUCCAAUGCUGAAGUUGUUCUUCCUGCUGGCACUUUAGUCUGAAGCAUUUGCAACUUGGUACUUGUGUGCCUUCCCAUCACCACAGCAUUUGAGCUGCUGUCAGUAUUUAAUGUAUUUGUCCUCCUGCUCUGUGGGGCAGAGGUUGCCUCUCUCACCAUUUUGCACACAUGGAAGUGAAGCCAAGAGAGAACCAGAGCUUGUAUCUGCAAUUGAUCCAUACUGAUUUCAAUAUGAGCCACCCAUCUCAAACACUA
Molecule: long non-coding RNA, 453 nt
Organism: Cyanistes caeruleus (blue tit)
Lineage: Eukaryota; Metazoa; Chordata; Aves; Passeriformes; Paridae
Source: RefSeq, a predicted model, not a curated record